UGCUACCUACGUAUCUGUUUCAGAGACUC
RNAcentral lists this non-coding RNA (29 nucleotides) under Homo sapiens (human). The record is from RNAcentral. Lineage: Eukaryota; Metazoa; Chordata; Mammalia; Primates; Hominidae.